GAUGAAGAACUCAGCGAAAUGCGAUAACUAAUGUGAAUUGCAGAAUUCCGUGAAUCAUCGAGUCUUUGAACGCACAUUGCGCCCCCUGGUAUUCCGGGGGGCAUGCCUGUCCGAGCGUCAUUGCUGCCCAUCAAGCACGGCUUGUGUGUUGGGUCCUCGUCCCCCCCGGGGGACGUGCCCGAAAGGCAGCGGCGGCACCGCGUCCGGUCCUCGAGCGUAUGGGGCUUUGUCACCCGCUCUGCAGGCCCGGCCGGCGCUGGCCGACGCGAAAGCAACCAUUUUUUCUCCAGGUUGACCUCGGAUCAGGUAGGGAUACCCGCUGAACUUAAGCAUAUCAAUAAGCGGAGGA
Molecule: unclassified non-coding RNA, 349 nt
Filed under: soil metagenome
Description: partial contains 5.8S ribosomal RNA, internal transcribed spacer 2, and large subunit ribosomal RNA
Rfam family: 5.8S ribosomal RNA (bases 1-120)
Source: RNAcentral